Molecule: ribosomal RNA, 253 nt
Filed under: uncultured bacterium
Lineage: Bacteria
Description: partial 16S ribosomal RNA
Rfam family: Bacterial small subunit ribosomal RNA
Source: RNAcentral
UACAGAGGGGGCAAGCGUUAUUCGGAAUUAUUGGGCGUAAAGGGCGCGUAGGCGGCUUGGCAAGUGGAAGGUGAAAUCCCUCGGCUUAACCGAGGAACUGCCCUCCAAACUGUUUGGCUUGAGACCGGGAGAGGUGAGUGGAAUUCCCAGUGUAGCGGUGAAAUGCGUAGAUAUUGGGAGGAACACCAGUGGCGAAGGCGGCUCACUGGACCGGUACUGACGCUGAUGCGCGAAAGCGUGGGGAGCAAACGGG